ACUCAAAUGAAUUGACGGGGACCCGCACAAGCGGUGGAGCGUGUUGUUUAAUUCGACGAUAAACGUAGAACCUUACCAAGGUUUGACAUCCUAGGAAUUUCUCCGAAAGGAGAAAGUGCCUUCGGGAACUUAGUGACAGGUGUUGCAUGGCCGUCGUCAGCUCGUGUCGUGAGAUGUUUGGUUAAGUCCAUUAACGAGCGCAACCCUUAUGGUUAGUUGAAUUUCUCUAGCCAGACUGCCCCGGUAACGGGGAGGAAGGAGGGGAUGAUGUCAGGUCAGUAUUACCCUUACACCUUGGGCUACAAACACGCUACAAUGGCCGGUACAGAGGGCAGCCAACCCGCGAGGGGGAGCAAAUCCCAUCAAAGCCGGUCUCAGUUCGGAUUGCAGGCUGAAACUCGCCUGCAUGAAGCUGGAAUCGCUAGUAACGGUAGGUCAGCAUACUACCGUGAAUACGUUCCCGGGUCUUGUACACACCGCCCGU
This 484-nucleotide ribosomal RNA is filed under the name uncultured bacterium. RNAcentral describes it as "partial 16S ribosomal RNA". It matches the Rfam family "Bacterial small subunit ribosomal RNA", at positions 899 to 1397 of the family's 1533-position model. The record is from RNAcentral.